UACGGGAGGCAGCAGUGGGGAAUUUUCCGCAAUGGGCGAAAGCCUGACGGAGCAAUACCGCGUGAGGGAAGACUGCCUAUGGGUUGUAAACCUCUUUUUUCAGGGAGGAAUAAAAUGACGUGUACCUGAAGAAUAAGCAUCGGCUAACUCCGUGCCAGCAGCCGCGGUAAU
This 171-nucleotide ribosomal RNA is filed under the name uncultured bacterium. RNAcentral's name for it is "partial 16S ribosomal RNA". It matches the Rfam family "Bacterial small subunit ribosomal RNA", at positions 340 to 524 of the family's 1533-position model. The record is from RNAcentral.